This 253-nucleotide ribosomal RNA is filed under the name uncultured bacterium. RNAcentral describes it as "partial 16S ribosomal RNA". It matches the Rfam family "Bacterial small subunit ribosomal RNA", at positions 524 to 776 of the family's 1533-position model. The record is from RNAcentral.
UACGGGGGGGGUAAGCGUUGUUCGGAAUUACUGGGCGUAAAGGGCUCGUAGGCGGCCAACUAAGUCAUACGUGAAAUCCCUCAGCUUAACUGGGGAACUGCGUGUGAUACUGGAUGGCUUGGAUGUGGGAGAGGGAUGCGGAAUUCCAGGUGUAGCGGUGAAAUGCGUAGAUAUCUGGAGGAAUACCGGUGGCGAAGGCGGCAUCCUGGACCGGCAUUGACGCUGAGGAGCGAAAGCUAGGGGAGCAAACGGG